CAGCAGCCACGGUAAUACGAAGGGUGCAAGCGUUACUCGGAAUUACUGGGCGUAAAGCGUGCGUAGGUGGUGGUUUAAGUCUGCUGUGAAAGCCCUGGGCUCAACCUGGGAAUUGCAGUGGAUACUGGAUCACUAGAGUGUGGUAGAGGGAUGCGGAAUUUCUGGUGUAGCAGUGAAAUGCGUAGAGAUCAGAAGGAACAUCCGUGGCGAAGGCGGCAUCCUGGGCCAACACUGACACUGAGGCACGAAAGCGUGGGGAGCAAACAGGAUUAGAUACCCGAGUAGUCCCUGUCUCUUAUAC
Molecule: ribosomal RNA, 301 nt
Filed under: uncultured bacterium
Lineage: Bacteria
Description: partial 16S ribosomal RNA
Rfam family: Bacterial small subunit ribosomal RNA
Source: RNAcentral